Molecule: non-coding RNA, 45 nt
Filed under: Schistosoma curassoni
Lineage: Eukaryota; Metazoa; Platyhelminthes; Trematoda; Strigeidida; Schistosomatidae
Source: RNAcentral
AUCCUACUAACGAGUCCCAAACAGGACGAACUGCGCGUCAUGGAU